UGAACGCUAGCGACAGGCCUAACACAUGCAAGUCGAGGGGUAUUGGGUCUUCGGACCCGAGAGACCGGCGCACGGGUGCGUAACGCGUAUGUAACCUGCCUUACACCGGGGGAUAGCCUUCCGAAAGGGAGAUUAAUACCGCAUAAUAUUAUAUAGCCACCUGGUUGUAUAAUUAAAACUUCGGUGGUGUAAGAUGGACAUGCGUAUGAUUAGCUAGUUGGCGGGGUAACGGCCCACCAAGGCGACGAUCAUUAGGGGUUCUGAGAGGAAGGUCCCCCCACACUGGUACUGAGACACGGACCAGACUCCUACGGGAGGCAGCAGUGAGGAAUAUUGGUCAAUGGACGGAAGUCUGAACCAGCCAUGGUUCCGCGUGCAGGAUGACUGCCCUAUGGGUUGUAAACUGCUUUUGUAUGGGAAGAAAGUGGGGUACGUGUACGCCUUUGCCGGUACCAUACGAAUAAAGAUCGGCUAACUCCGUGCCAGCCGCCGC
RNAcentral lists this ribosomal RNA (493 nucleotides) under uncultured bacterium. Its description in RNAcentral is "bacterial SSU rRNA". It matches the Rfam family "Bacterial small subunit ribosomal RNA", at positions 30 to 518 of the family's 1533-position model. The record is from RNAcentral.